UUUUAUUUGAGAGUUUGAUCCUGGCUCAGGAUGAACGCUGGCGGCGUGCCUAACACAUGCAAGUUGAGCGAUUUACUUCGGUAAAGAGCGGCGGACGGGUGAGUAACGCGUGGGUAACCUACCCUGUACACACGGAUAACAUACCGAAAGGUAUGCUAAUACGGGAUAAUAUAUUUGAGAGGCAUCU
This 187-nucleotide ribosomal RNA is filed under the name Clostridioides difficile. RNAcentral describes it as "partial 16S ribosomal RNA". It matches the Rfam family "Bacterial small subunit ribosomal RNA", at positions 1 to 194 of the family's 1533-position model. Lineage: Bacteria; Bacillati; Bacillota; Clostridia; Peptostreptococcales; Peptostreptococcaceae. The record is from RNAcentral.